UAAAGAGUUCUAUAACUCCCAAACCCAUGUGAACAUACCUAACGUUGCCUCGGCAGGUCGCACCUACCUUGUAGCACCCUACCCUGUAGGGCCUACCCGGGAGGUGCGGGUAAGCCUGCCGGCGGCCCACCAAACUCUGUUUGAUAUUGAAUUCUGAACCUAUAACUAAAUAAGUUAAAACUUUCAACAACGGAUCUCUUGGUUCUGGCAUCGAUGAAGAACGCAGCGAAAUGCGAUAAGUAAUGUGAAUUGCAGAAUUCAGUGAAUCAUCGAAUCUUUGAACGCAUAUUGCGCCCAUUAGUAUUCUAGUGGGCAGGACCGUUCGAGCGUCAUUUCAACCCUUAAGCCUUCGUUGCUUAGUGUUGGGAGCCUACGGCAACGUAGCUCCUCAAAGUUAGUGGCGGAGUUGGUUCACACUCUAGACGUAGUAAUUUUUUAUCUCGCCUAUUAGUUGGACUAAUCCCCUGCCGUAAAACCCCUAAUUUAUCAAGGUUGACCUCGAAUCGGUUCAGACAAACUCGCUAAAUUGAAGCAUCUUAGUCAGCGAAGGAAAAGAAACCAACAGGGAUUGCCCUAGUAACGGCGAGUGAAGCGGCAAC
Molecule: ribosomal RNA, 599 nt
Filed under: fungal endophyte
Lineage: Eukaryota; Fungi
Description: eukaryotic LSU rRNA
Rfam family: 5.8S ribosomal RNA (bases 179-332)
Source: RNAcentral